AAGCAGCAAGACAGCUUCACAAUUGCAGUCCAUGGCCCAAGGAGCAAUCACAGCAAUUAGAGCUUCAUAUUCUACUCUCAAGCAACAUAAACCUUAAAUUAAUCCAUGCAGCUGGGGGAUGGUAAUAGCUAGCAAACAUUAACAAUCCCAUUUGCUACAUUCCGCUUCUCCAAGGCAAGCGGCUUACUUGCCAUCGAGGCAUUCCCAGCUUUUGUAACUGGGCCAUUCUCAGUAGGCUUCAGGUCCCCAUUGGACUGAGCAAUUGAAAUGCUUCCCUGGGUCACAUCACUCACAACCUCCAGUGUAUUGUGUGACAUAUUUGCCACUUCUUUCUUCUCGUCUUCAAGCUUUCUUUCUAAUACCUGUUUCUGGAACUGCUGUUGCUU
RNAcentral lists this unclassified non-coding RNA (386 nucleotides) under Hevea brasiliensis (rubber tree). Lineage: Eukaryota; Viridiplantae; Streptophyta; Magnoliopsida; Malpighiales; Euphorbiaceae. The record is from RNAcentral.